This 21-nucleotide microRNA is filed under the name Prunus persica (peach). Its description in RNAcentral is "ppe-miR828-3p". Its record names the gene ppe-miR828-3p. The record is from miRBase by way of RNAcentral. Lineage: Eukaryota; Viridiplantae; Streptophyta; Magnoliopsida; Rosales; Rosaceae.
UCAUUUCAGCAAGCAGCGUUA